This 1499-nucleotide ribosomal RNA is filed under the name uncultured bacterium. Its description in RNAcentral is "bacterial SSU rRNA". It matches the Rfam family "Bacterial small subunit ribosomal RNA". The record is from RNAcentral.
UAGUUCGAUCAUGGCUCAGGAUGAACGCUGGCGGCAUGCCUAAUACAUGCAAGUCGAACGGAGUGAAGCCUUCGGGUUUCAUUCAGUGGCGAACGGGUGAGUAAUACGCAGGGAACCUGGCCAUGGCAGGGGGAUACACUCUGGAAACGGAGCAUAAGACCCCAUAGGCAGUAAGGCGGCAUCGCCUUACUGUUAAAGAAAGCUGAAAGGCUUUGGCGAUGGAUGGACCUGCGGUGCAUUAGCUUGUUGGUGAGGCAACGGCUUACCAAGGCGAUGAUGCAUAGCCGGCCUGAGAGGGCGGACGGCCACACUGGGACUGAGACACGGCCCAGACUCCUGCGGGAGGCAGCAGUAGGGAAUUUUCGUCAAUGGGCGCAAGCCUGAACGAGCAAUGCCGCGUGAGUGAGGAAGGUCUUCGGACUGUAAAGCUCUGUUGCCGGGGAAAAAGGGGAAAUGCAGGAAAUGGCAUUUCAUGGAUGGUACCCGGCCAGAAAGCCACGGCUAACUACGUGCCAGCAGCCGCGGUAAUACGUAGGUGGCGAGCGUUAUCCGGAAUGAUUGGGCGUAAAGGGUGCGCAGGCGGUCUGUUAAGUCUGAAGGCAAAGGGAAGAGCUCAACUCUUCUUUGAUUCAGAAACUGGCAGACUUGAGGACAGGAGAGGGCGGUGGAACUCCAUGUGUAGCGGUAAAAUGCGCAGAGAUAUGGAAGAACACCAGUGGCGAAGGCGGCCGCCUGGCCUGUGACUGACGCUGAGGCACGAAAGCGUGGGGAGCAAAUAGGAUUAGAUACCCUAGUAGUCCACGCCGUAAACGAUGAGGAGCAGGUGUUGGGAGUGAAAUCUCAGUGCCGAAGCCAACGCAGUGACUCCUCCGCCUGGGGAGUAUGCACGCAAGUGUGAAACUCAAAGGAAUUGACGGGGGCCCGCACAAGCGGUGGAGUAUGUGGUUUAAUUCGAAGCAACGCGAAGAACCUUACCAGGUUUUGACAUCGGAUGCGAAGGCGCAGAGAUGCGCUGGAGGCUAUCAUCCAGACAGGUGGUGCAUGGUUGUCGUCAGCUCGUGUCGUGAGAUGUUCAGUUAAGUCUGGCAACGAGCGCAACCCCCGUGGUAUGUUACUAACGCAUUUGGGCGAGGACUCAUAUCAGACUGCCGGUGACAAACCGGAGGAAGGCGGGGAUGACGUCAAAUCAUCAUGCCCCUUAUGACCUGGGCUACACACGUACUACAAUGGCGUCUACAGAGGGAAGCGACCCUGAGAAGGGAAGCGAAACCGGAAAAGGGCGUCCCAGUUCGGAUUGAAGUCUGCAACCCGACUUCAUGAAGAUGGAAUCGCUAGUAAUCGCGGAUCAGCAUGCCGCGGUGAAUACGUUCCCGGGCCUUGUACACACCGCCCGUCAAACCAUGGAAGCCGGCAACGCCCGAAGCCGGUGGCAUAACCUUUUAGGAGUGAGCCGUCGAAGGCGGGGCCGAUGACUGGGGUUAAGUCGUAACAAGGUAACC